ACACAUGCAAGUCGAGCGGUAAGGCCCUUCGGGGUACACGAGCGGCGAACGGGUGAGUAACACGUGAGCAACCUGCCCCUGACUCCGGGAUAAGCGGUGGAAACGCCGUCUAAUACCGGAUACGACUCUCCGGCUCAUGCUGGAGGGUGGAAAGUUUUUUCGGUCGGGGAUGGGCUCGCGGCCUAUCAGCUUGUUGGUGGGGUAAUGGCCCACCAAGGCGAUUACGGGUAGCCGGCCUGAGAGGGUGACCGGCCACACUGGGACUGAGACACGGCCCAGACUCCUGCGGGAGGCAGCAGUGGGGAAUCUUGCGCAAUGGGCGAAAGCCUGACGCAGCGACGCCGCGUGGGGGAUGACGGCCUUCGGGUUGUAAACUCCUUUUACCACUCACGCAGGCUCCCAGUUCUCUGGGGGUUGACGGUAAGUGGGGAAUAAGGACCGGCUAACUACGUGCCAGCAGCCGCGGUAAUACGUAGGGUCCGAGCGUUGUCCGGAAUUAUUGGGCGUAAAGAGCUCGUAGGCGGCAUGUCACGUCUGCUGUGAAAGACCGGGGCUUAACUUCGGUUUUGCAGUGGAUACGGGCAUGCUAGAGGUAGGUAGGGGAGACUGGAAUUCCUGGUGUAGCGGUGGAAUGCGCAGAUAUCAGGAGGAACACCGGUGGCGAAGGCGGGUCUCUGGGCCUUACCUGACGCUGAGGAGCGAAAGCAUGGGUAGCGAACAGGAUUAGAUACCCUGGUAGUCCAUGCCGUAAACGAUGGGCGCUAGGUGUGGGGACUUUCCACGGUUUCCGCGCCGUAGCU
This 800-nucleotide ribosomal RNA is filed under the name Nocardiopsis sp. JSM 075056. RNAcentral's name for it is "bacterial SSU rRNA". It matches the Rfam family "Bacterial small subunit ribosomal RNA", at positions 51 to 853 of the family's 1533-position model. The record is from RNAcentral. Lineage: Bacteria; Bacillati; Actinomycetota; Actinomycetes; Streptosporangiales; Nocardiopsidaceae.